RNAcentral lists this ribosomal RNA (425 nucleotides) under uncultured bacterium. RNAcentral's name for it is "bacterial SSU rRNA". It matches the Rfam family "Bacterial small subunit ribosomal RNA", at positions 508 to 930 of the family's 1533-position model. The record is from RNAcentral.
UCAGCAGCCGCGGUAACACGUAGGAGACGAGCGUUAUCCGGAUUUACUGGGUGUAAAGCGCAUGUAGGCGGGUUCCCAAGUCGGGCAUGAAAUCUUUCGGCUUAACCGGGAGGAGUGGUCCGAUACUAGGAGUCUUGAGGGCAGGAGAGGGAAGCAGAAUUCCCGGUGUAGUGGUGGAAUACGUAGAUAUCGGGAGGAAUACCAGUGGCGAAAGCGGCUUCCUGGCCUGUGCCUGACGCUAAGAUGCGAAAGCGUGGGUAGCAAACGGGAUUAGAUACCCCGGUAGUCCACGCCGUAAACGAUGGAUACUAGGUGUUGGUGGCCCUUUACCCCACCAGUGCCGAAGCUAACGCGAUAAGUAUCCCACCUGGGGACUACGGUCGCAAGACUAAAACUCAAAGGAAUUGACGGGGGCCCGCACAAGU